This 608-nucleotide ribosomal RNA is filed under the name uncultured bacterium. Its description in RNAcentral is "bacterial SSU rRNA". It matches the Rfam family "Bacterial small subunit ribosomal RNA", at positions 94 to 768 of the family's 1533-position model. The record is from RNAcentral.
ACCGGCGCACGGGUGAGUAACGCGUAUCCAACCUGCCCAUCACUUGGGGAUAACCUUGCGAAAGUAAGACUAAUACCCAAUGGUGAUGGAUGGGGAUGCGUCUGAUUAGCUUGUUGGCGGGGUAACGGCCCACCAAGGCGACGAUCAGUAGGGGCUCUGAGAGGAAGGUCCCCCACAUUGGAACUGAGACACGGUCCAAACUCCUACGGGAGGCAGCAGUGAGGAAUAUUGGUCAAUGGGCGAGAGCCUGAACCAGCCAAGUAGCGUGCAGGAUGACGGCCUAUGGGUUGUAAACUGCUUUUAUAAGGGAAUAUGUACCUUAUGAAUAAGGACCGGCUAAUUCCGUGCCAGCAGCCGCGGUAAUACGGAAGGUCCGGGCGUUAUCCGGAUUUAUUGGGUUUAAAGGGAGCGUAGGCCGGAGAUUAAGCGUGUUGUGAAAUGUAGAUGCUCAACAUCUGCACUGCAGCGCGAACUGGUUUCCUUGAGUACGCACAAAGUGGGCGGAAUUCGUGGUGUAGCGGUGAAAUGCUUAGAUAUCACGAAGAACUCCGAUUGCGAAGGCAGCUCACUGGAGCGCGACUGACGCUGAAGCUCGAAAGUGCGGGUAU